UAGGGAAUAUUGCACAAUGGGGGAAACCCUGAUGCAGCGACGCCGCGUGAAGGAAGAAGUAUCUCGGUAUGUAAACUUCUAUCAGCAGGGAAGACAAUGACGGUACCUGACUAAGAAGCCCCGGCUAACUACGUGCCAGCAGCCGCGGUAAUACGUGAGGGGACAAGCGUUCAUGUCCGGAUUUUAGCUGGGAUGGUAAAGGGAGCGUAGACGGAUCUGCAAGUCUGGAGUGAAAGCCCGGGGCUCAACCCCGGGACUGCUUUGGAAACUGUGGAUCUAGAGUGCCGGAGAGGUAAGCGGAAUUCCUAGUGUAGCGGUGAAAUGCGUAGAUAUUAGGAGGAACACCAGUGGCGAAGGCGGCUUACUGGACGGUAACUGACGUUGAGGCUCGAAAGCGUGGGGAGCAAACAGGAUUAGAUACC
This 422-nucleotide ribosomal RNA is filed under the name uncultured bacterium. RNAcentral's name for it is "bacterial SSU rRNA". It matches the Rfam family "Bacterial small subunit ribosomal RNA", at positions 355 to 786 of the family's 1533-position model. The record is from RNAcentral.